AUUGAACGCUGGCGGAAUGCUUUACACAUGCAAGUCGAACGGCAGCACGGGGGCAACCCUGGUGGCGAGUGGCGAACGGGUGAGUAAUACAUCGGAACGUGCCCAGUCGUGGGGGAUAACGUAGCGAAAGUUACGCUAAUACCGCAUACGAUCUACGGAUGAAAGCGGGGGACCGUAAGGCCUCGCGCGAUUGGAGCGGCCGAUGUCAGAAUAGGUAGUUGGCGAGGUAAAGGCUCACCAAGCCGACGAUCUGUAGCUGGUCUGAGAGGACGACCAGCCACACUGGGACUGAGACACGGCCCAGACUCCUACGGGAGGCAGCAGUGGGGAAUUUUGGACAAUGGGCGCAAGCCUGAUCCAGCCAUUCCGCGUGCAGGACGAAGGCCUUCGGGUUGUAAACUGCUUUUGUACGGAACGAAAAGGCUCUGGUUAAUACCUGGGGCUCAUGACGGUACCGUAAGAAUAAGCACCGGCUAACUACGUGCCAGCCGCCGCAGUAA
RNAcentral lists this ribosomal RNA (500 nucleotides) under uncultured bacterium. RNAcentral describes it as "partial 16S ribosomal RNA". It matches the Rfam family "Bacterial small subunit ribosomal RNA", at positions 30 to 523 of the family's 1533-position model. The record is from RNAcentral.